Molecule: ribosomal RNA, 427 nt
Filed under: uncultured bacterium
Lineage: Bacteria
Description: bacterial SSU rRNA
Rfam family: Bacterial small subunit ribosomal RNA
Source: RNAcentral
UGGGGAAUUUUGGACAAUGGGCGCAAGCCUGAUCCAGCCAUGCCGCGUGCAGGAUGAAGGCCUUCGGGUUGUAAACUGCUUUUGUACGGAACGAAAAGACUCCUUCUAAUAAAGGGGGUCCAUGACGGUACCGUAAGAAUAAGCACCGGCUAACUACGUGCCAGCAGCCGCGGUAAUACGUAGGGUGCGAGCGUUAAUCGGAAUUAUUGGGCGUAAAGCGUGCGCAGGCGGUUAUAUAAGACGGAUGUGAAAUCCCCGGGCUCAACCUGGGAACUGCAUUCGUGACUGUAUAGCUAGAGUUCGGCAGAGGGGGAUGGAAUUCCGCGUGUAGCGGUGAAAUGCGUAGAUAUGCGGAGGAACACCGGUGGCGAAGGCGGUCCCCUGGGCCUGUACUGACGAUCAUGCACGAGAGCGUGGGGAGCAAACA